RNAcentral lists this ribosomal RNA (427 nucleotides) under uncultured beta proteobacterium. RNAcentral's name for it is "bacterial SSU rRNA". It matches the Rfam family "Bacterial small subunit ribosomal RNA", at positions 355 to 774 of the family's 1533-position model. Lineage: Bacteria; Pseudomonadati; Pseudomonadota; Betaproteobacteria. The record is from RNAcentral.
UGGGGAAUUUUGGACAAUGGGCGAAAGCCUGAUCCAGCCAUGCCGCGUGAGUGAAGAAGGCCUUCGGGUUGUAAAGCUCUUUUAGUCGGAAAGAAAGAGUUGCAAUGAAUAAUUGAGAUUUAUGACGGUACCGACAGAAAGAGCACCGGCUAACUACGUGCCAGCAGCCGCGGUAAUACGUAGGGUGCGAGCGUUAAUCGGAUUUACUGGGCGUAAAGGGGGCGCAGGCGGUCUUGCAAGUCAGAGGUGAAAGCCCCGGGCUUAACCUGGGAAUUGCGUUUGAAACUACAAGGCUAGAGUGCAGAAGAGGGGAGUGGAAUUCCAUGUGUAGAAGUGAAAUGCGUAGAGAUGUGGAAGAACACCGAUGGCGAAGGCAGCUCCCUGGGUUGACACUGACGCUCAUGCACGAAAGCGUGGGGAGCAAACA